Long non-coding RNA from Triticum aestivum (bread wheat), 436 nucleotides. RefSeq lists it as uncharacterized. NCBI's taxonomy places the organism in Eukaryota, Viridiplantae, Streptophyta, Magnoliopsida, Poales, Poaceae. The transcript has 2 exons. The record is from RefSeq and is a predicted model, not a curated record.
GUGCGGUUCAUGGACAGCGACCGCGAGGCGCCGGCGGCGGUGCCUGGGGCGAAUCUCGGGACGGUACCGGCGCAGGAGGCGUCCUCCGGCUGGCGAUGGCAAGACGAUCUCCAGCAGAGCUUCGAGCUAUGACCAUGAAAUACAUCGUGGGCAACAUCAUCGGUUUUGUCCAUCGGUCGAUAAGUCAUCCAUCCAUAGCUGGCGGCCGGCCAAGGCGGCUGCGACCCCGAGUCCUUCUGCCACUGGAAGAACUACUCCGACGACGACGGCAUGAACGACGACGACGGUAUGUUAGGGCAGAGCAGACACGUGUACGAAGUCACGGUCUGCUACAAGUUAGUCUCCUAGUUUUUUUCGAAAGUCUUUUAGUUAAACGAAUGAAAAUUUGUCCGUUUUAUGUAAAUUAUGUCCCAACUUUAAUCAGUUCCAUUGUGUU